Molecule: ribosomal RNA, 502 nt
Filed under: uncultured bacterium
Lineage: Bacteria
Description: partial 16S ribosomal RNA
Rfam family: Bacterial small subunit ribosomal RNA
Source: RNAcentral
AGCGAACGCUGGCGGCGUGCCUAACACAUGCAAGUCGAACGUGAAAGGGAGCAAUCCCAAGUAAAGUGGCGUACGGGUGAGUAACACGUAGGUAAUCUACCCCAGAAUCUGGAAUAACCGGCCGAAAGGCUGGCUAAUACUGGAUAGAGCGACGGAAUCCGUAAUUGGGUUUUUCGGGAAAGGGAGCCUGUAAAAAGGCCUUCGUUCUGGGAUGAGCCUGCGUCCCGUCAGCGAGUUGGUGAGGUAAAAGCUUACCAAGGCAAUGACGGGUAGCUGGUCUGGGAGGACGAUCAGCCACACUGGGACUGAAACACGGUCCAGACUCCUACGGGAGGCAGCAGUGGGGAAUCAUGCGCAAUGGACGAAAGUCCGACGCAGCAACGCCGCGUGAGUGAAGAAGGGCUUCGGGUUGUAAAGCUCUGUCGAGUGGGACGAAAAUGCUUGGAGUUCACAGCUCCAGGAACUGACGGUACCACUAAAGGAAGCACCGGCUAACUCCGUG